CCUACGGGAGGCAGCAGUAGGGAAUAUUGCUCAAUGGGGGAAACCCUGAAGCAGCAACGCCGCGUGGAGGAUGACGGCUCUUGGAUUGUUAACCCUCUUUGUCAGAGAAGAUAAUGACGGUACCUAUCGAAUCAGUACCGGUUAACUCCGUGCCAGCAACCGCGGUAAUACGGCGGGCGCCAGCGUUACUCGGAAUGACUGGGCGUAAAGGGCGCGUAGGGGGGAUAGCAAGUUAGAUGUGAAACCCUAUGGGUUAAACAUAGAACUGCAAUUGAAACUGGUGUUCUAGAGUGUGAGAGAGGUAGGUGGAAUGCGUGGUGUAGGGGUGAAAUGCAUAGAGAUCAAGAAGAAUACUGAUUGCGAAGGCAGCCUGCUGGAACAUGACUGACGCUGAUGCGCGAAAGCGUGGGGAGCGAACAGGAUUAGAUACCCGGGUAGUC
Molecule: ribosomal RNA, 440 nt
Filed under: uncultured bacterium
Lineage: Bacteria
Description: partial 16S ribosomal RNA
Rfam family: Bacterial small subunit ribosomal RNA
Source: RNAcentral